RNAcentral lists this ribosomal RNA (1197 nucleotides) under Triticum aestivum (bread wheat). RNAcentral's name for it is "partial small subunit ribosomal RNA". Lineage: Eukaryota; Viridiplantae; Streptophyta; Magnoliopsida; Poales; Poaceae. The record is from RNAcentral.
AUGUCAGACACACAUAAUCAGAUAUUUGCCCAUAAACGUAAGCUUUUGCCUAAAUUAAUCCCUGUUCAUGUGUCCAAGUUCAGUGAUCAUUUACGUUUACAAAAAAACCCUCUCUUUGUGCCUCAUCUUUCAGGAACUAUAUUUGAACCCUUAACUCUUGGAGGCCCCCAGUGUUCUUGCCAACAUUGUGGUGCUCUCUUUUGGUAUGACGAGCGUGUACGCAGAGAAAGACAUACUCAAAAUCCAACAUAUAAUUUGUGCUGCAAAGGAGGAAAAGUUUCCCUCCAGCCAUAUGAUCCUCCUCCUCAACCUCUAUUGGAUUUACUCACUUCACAUAAUAGUUCACUCUCAAGCCACUUCUUUCAUCAUAUUCGUCAGUACAAUACCAUGUUUGCCAUGACUUCAAUGGGAGCUAAAAUUGAUGAGUCCAUAAAUGAUGGCCGAGGCCCAUACGUUUUCAAGAUCAGUGGCCAAGUCUGCCACCGUGUUGGUUCAAUGAGACCAUCUAGAGGAAAGAGACCAGAAUAUGCACAAUUAUACAUAUUUGAUACAGAGUGUGAGGUUUCAAAUAGAAUAAAUGUUGCCUCAUCUUCGCGCACCGGUUCAUCUUCGCCUUCAUCUACACGCACUUUGUUCCAAGCUAAUGAAGGCAUUGUUCAGUCCCUCAUAACAAUGUUGAACACACAUAAUCCCAUUGUGAAACUAUUUAGAACAGCAAGUCAAAGAUUACAUGGCAAUGAUUCUGACCAUUUAUACAUCAGAAUAUAUGGCAAACCUGAUGCCCAUGGAGAUAUCUAUAGUGCUCCACUUGCAUCCGAAGUUGUUGGAUUAGUGGUUGGAGAUUUAGGGUCUUCUAAUGUUGGACGGAACAUUAUAAUAGAAGAUCAUUCAUCACGGUUACAACAGAUCAAUGAAAAACACUGCAAGUUUAUGUCCAUGCAAUAUCCUCUUUUAUUUCCAUAUGGUGAGGAUGGUUAUCAUGAUGAGCUUAUGUGCCUUCCAGUGUCAAAUGCAUCAAAUCAACGCCAAAAAGUCACAAUGCUAGAAUACUAUGCAUAUAGGUUACAUGAUAGGCCAAAUGACUUCAACACUCCAUUACGAUGCAAAAGGUUAACACAGGCUUACUUUGUGGAUGGCUAUUGUUCUGUUGAAACCUUUCGUAUUGCAUUCUACCGCAAGCCUAGCUUUCAACGGAAA